This is a long non-coding RNA of Gossypium arboreum, 960 nucleotides long. RefSeq lists it as uncharacterized. The record is from RefSeq and is a predicted model, not a curated record. NCBI's taxonomy places the organism in Eukaryota, Viridiplantae, Streptophyta, Magnoliopsida, Malvales, Malvaceae. The transcript has 3 exons.
ACUUUUGGAUUGCAGAAGUUGUUUGGGAUGCAGAAGCACUUCUCCAAAGUGCUUUUAGAGCCAAAGGGAAAAGCUGAAAAUAGAUAUAGUGGCUUUCAGAUUUGGGAUGUGAAAUAUACCACUAAACCCUCAUUGCCUUCUUUAAGCAAAGCUGUUGGGUUUAUCUGCAACAUCCAUUUCUCUCCCCUGUUUCACCAAGAAAUUGCAGAGCUGCUAUUAGUAACACUUUCAUCUUUUUCAUUUGGGUUUUCAAUAGCUCAAACAGCUUUUUUCUGACUUUGCAAAUGGCCAUAAUUAAUAACAUAAGAAAAACGUGAAGAGAAGGCUGUAGAAGAAAGAAAGAUGGAAUCAAUGGAUCUUUAGGUCAUGUUUGGUUGGAAGGUUUAUGAAUGGAUUCCAACCCAAUUUGGUGGCCCCACCACCAAACAUUUGUUUGGUUGACUGUAAUGUUAUUACAGCCUGAAUUCAUUCACGUUCUAUUACAGGAAAAGGAUGAAUAGUCAUUCCCUUCCUUCACCACUGAAUUCUUGUACAGUCUCGUGGAGUAAAUUUUUUUUCCCAUUUUCAAUUUUUGCCCUCACCUUUACCCGGAGAGAAUGAAGAAGCUGUAAUGGAAACUAUCAUCUUCUCAUUCGAUCUUACUGAUCCGGAUAACUCAAAUUCGAAGCUAGAUCGAGGAAAAGAAAAAGUUUCAGAUUAGUAUAUUUUUUUUAUACGAACUAUUAUCGAGUGCUCGGAAGCUCACAAAGGUAGAAGAUCGGUUAGAGUAUCAUCACACUAUCCACUAGCUUGUUUUGGUAUAAAUAGUAAACUUAUUUUGGCAUAAUGACAUGUAUAGGUAACUUGGCCAUUGUUGACAUAUAAAUGUGGUUUGUAAACUAGCAAUUGGAAUGACUACUAAUGAUUUGUUUUGGUAUUUAUUAUGACAAACACCUAUAUUUUAAGUAUAUUGAGUAUGGU